AAAUGCGGAAGAGAUAAGUGCUGAAAGCAUCUAAGCACGAAACUUGCCCCGAGAUGAGUUCUCCCUGACUCCUUGAGAGUCCUGAAGGAACGUUGAAGACGACGACGUUGAUAGGCCGGGUGUGUAAGCGCAGCGAUGCGUUGAGCUAACCGGUACUAAUGAACCGUGAGGCUUAACCUUACAACGCCGAAGCUGUU
RNAcentral lists this ribosomal RNA (197 nucleotides) under Escherichia coli. RNAcentral describes it as "partial 23S ribosomal RNA". It matches the Rfam family "Bacterial large subunit ribosomal RNA", at positions 2751 to 2925 of the family's 2925-position model. Lineage: Bacteria; Pseudomonadati; Pseudomonadota; Gammaproteobacteria; Enterobacterales; Enterobacteriaceae. The record is from RNAcentral.